RNAcentral lists this ribosomal RNA (307 nucleotides) under uncultured Lactobacillus sp. RNAcentral's name for it is "bacterial SSU rRNA". It matches the Rfam family "Bacterial small subunit ribosomal RNA", at positions 350 to 649 of the family's 1533-position model. The record is from RNAcentral. Lineage: Bacteria; Bacillati; Bacillota; Bacilli; Lactobacillales; Lactobacillaceae.
AGCAGUAGGGAAUCUUCCACAAUGGACGCAAGUCUGAUGGAGCAACGCCGCGUGAGUGAAGAAGGUUUUCGGAUCGUAAAGCUCUGUUGUUGGUGAAGAAGGAUAGAGGCAGUAACUGGUCUUUAUUUGACGGUAAUCAACCAGAAAGUCACGGCUAACUACGUGCCAGCAGCCGCGGUAAUACGUAGGUGGCAAGCGUUGUCCGGAUUUAUUGGGCGUAAAGCGAGCGCAGGCGGAAUGAUAAGUCUGAUGUGAAAGCCCACGGCUCAACCGUGGAACUGCAUCGGAAACUGUCAUUCUUGAGGCA